Molecule: ribosomal RNA, 3961 nt
Filed under: Triticum aestivum (bread wheat)
Lineage: Eukaryota; Viridiplantae; Streptophyta; Magnoliopsida; Poales; Poaceae
Description: partial small subunit ribosomal RNA
Source: RNAcentral
UGGUUGGAGCGCUAGGCAUUUGCCUUUGUUUUGGUGUCGGGGCGCGCUCAGGGGGCACCGGAGGGAGGGUAGAGGGGGGAGCAGUGCGGAGGCGCGGGCGCGUGCGUGGGCGGGGCAGCACUUUAAUGCGAAGCGGGGAGCGGGCGGCGCCCCUAGGCGCGGGGAGGGCCGGAGCGGGGCGGCGGUACCAGCUGUGGUCCGCGUCGAGGCGCCCCUUCGCGGCCCGGAGCAGCCUCCUCCGGAGCGGGGGCUGCGGGGGCGGGCGCCGCCGGAGCCGGAGCCCGCGCCCGCUGCCGCUGCGCCGCCCCCGCAGCCGCAGGCGCGGGCGCCGCCUCCGGCGGAGGGGCGGCGGGAGCGCCCCGGCGAGCCGGUUCGCCCGGUUCCGCGUCCCGUUCUGCUGCGCGCACCACAGUCCGGGGCACAAGCUCCGGCGGCGGUUCCGUCGCCCGGCGCGCUAGCUCUCGAGCGUCGACUCGCGCGGCCGGCGCCUCUCCAGGCGGCCCCGGCAGCGCCGCAGCAGGUGCCACAGCUUAAGCCCUCGAAGUCGCUCCUUCUUCUCCUGCGGGUCCGCAGACGGAGGCAGCCUGCUCUGCUGGCGCCUUCUCUACUGCGUCACCUUCUGCUCCGCGCCCCGCCGGUCAUCGGCCUGAGUACGGACCCGGUCUGACUAAAGGGUUAGAAGAGUCAUAGGGUGCCAAGGAUAAAUACGAAGGAUAAAGUGGCAACCGGUACCACCAUUUGUACUAAACUUUGACUGCCUGCGUAAUAGACCUAGUGAACAAACGUCUGACUCCGUACAAUCCUCCCCACGACGGGAACUCCAGAGAUAUAGGUUUCAACAGAUACAUUUACCCUUCCGGAAUCUGUUCAGACGAUUCCAGUGGAACUGACCUCCGCUGCUUCAACAAAAAUCAAGUGAACCCUUCGUACGAAUAUAUAAAGUCGGAGAAGGUCUCCUUUUUAGUUCGUGUAGUUAGGAAAGAAGGGGCUCAAAACAAGUCGUUCCCGUCGUAGGUCAAUACUUUCCGUGUAACCUAGUAAAUAGUAGAUUUUCCCGGUUCAAUAGUCACGGCAAAUUAAAACCAUCACCGACGAGAGGUAACCAAGGAGUACUAUGUCUCUAUCAGUCGUCAAAUACAUUUUGUUACCUCCUCGUCUUGGUCAAGAGAAGACUUCUUUUACACAGUAAACGAGUUGUAUUUGAAAAUUUUCUUCUAGACUUCUUCCGUGAAAAAUCACGUUCACUAUAUAGUCUCAGUAAACUAUCAAAAGGUAUAAUAGACUCACUCUUAUGGUUUUCAAGAGAGGACUGUGGUCGUGUACAUUUAAACACAACGUUCCUUCGGUACCUCACCUGUUUUUUUUAUAGAAAAUAAAGAGUUGCUCAUGAUAAUAGACCAGGUCGUCCCAGACUCUAUAUGGUUCUUUGUAACUACUUCCGAGAGUGGUUUGUGAAGCUACGAUCCGACGAGCAACAUCUAAGUAGUAACGACAGCUCACAUUCGGAGAAUUGGUACGGUACGAAUAAGAAGAACUUCACCUAACUACUAUAUAACUUGUCGCGGUGGUGUCGAGUAAAACUUGUUUGGUGUUGGUUAAGAUAACCUGUCAGAAGUUUCAGUUUCCUCAGUCUCGGCAUGUUUUUUCCACUAUCCCACGCUAUGUAACCAAGAAACGUCAGUUGUUCCAAAUAGGAGCUCCCUGUUUCUCGAGGUCUAAUACCAAGGGUCCCACUUCACGCUGAAGGAAAACUCCUUUUACCUAGGAGUUUUUAGCCUCAGUCAAAACUGUUUGGCUAAGGACCCCCGUAACUAGAUCCUCCGUUAACACUCCAACUAGUACCAAAGAAGACAAGUCAACUAAGAGACACGGAGCUACCAGGUCCUACCCUUCUAUCUCGAUUUGUAGGUAAACUACAUUAUAAACUCAAAGAAAGACUUCUUUCACGCGUACCUGGGGAAUAGGAUAAAAACUUCCUGCAACUCUUUCACACACCUUUGUGAAUGAGAAUAGUACCAGAUUUCUCGUUCGAGCUUUAAAAAGGUCGUCCACAAAAACAAUAACCCAGAGUCUGGGUCCGUCUGUCAGCCUUUCUAUUCGAUUUGCCCAGAGGAAAGGAAAGCUUCAAGGGUAUACCAGUUCGUCGUUAUGAGCUGGAACGCAAGGUCCUAUCGAAACCGGCCCACUUACUAUUUUGGUUUCUUCGUCGCUUCUGACGCUUCGUACAGUGAUUUGAAAAGGGGUCAUUUCACUGUUAUGUUGGUGGUGUCCUACUGAACCUUGAGAGUUUCACCUUUGUCGAUAACCUAGCACUAUAACUUUAAGACUUUCACUUCCGAUUGUAAAGUUUUCAGGUCAGAAAAGAUUGAGCGUUACCAGACCUUACACGACUACAUCUCUGGUGUCAUACACAAUUUCUAGCUUGAGAAUGUUUACUUACACAGCUAUUUUAUCAACCAAUACGAAACUCAGUAGUUCAAUACUUAAGGUGACAAGGUUGAGGACCUUUCCUACACAAUGAACGAGAAAGACCACUUUCGGAAGUCGUACCCCAACUAAACAGCCUUUCCUACGUUUUACUGGUAUUCUUUUUCUCGUGUUUCUUUAGUGAGUUCCUACAACGGUGCCUCUUACUUAAACUUUUCUCCGAAGAACCACUACAAUAGGGAGGUCUACUCUAUCCACAAAGGAAACUACUGUAACCUCGUGAUCUCUUACAGUUCCUUUGAAACUUCCUUAAUCACUACGAAGGUAACGUUUCCGGUCUCAACAAGAGGUUCCCUGUUGAAUACUUCGGUACAUUUCCUUAUAACGAAAAACCAGGUGGACCAUGCCCCUUCUGGUACGAACGAUUUCGACAACGUUGUCUCCGACCACGAUUGAAGUAGUUGUAUAGUUACAGUUCGUAACCGAGCUUCACCAAACCGCUCCCCCUUUUUAUACACUUUCGACACAAAAGUGAACGUUCGUUUUAACGAGGGUCACAGUAAAAACACCUACUCCAACUGCCGUACGACCCAUCUGCACUUUUGGGUCCCCUUGUACUUCGGUACGCAUUUUACUUUUUACUUAAAUACCACUUGACCCUACCAGACUCUUGUUUUCUGUUUCUUGCACAUAAUCAUGAACGACGGUGAUUAUCCGGCAAACUAGAACUACUCCGACAGUAAUCCUCCGAGGGUUCCUCCAACUACCACUUAAAUGGUCUGCGUUGGUUAUCCUUUUUCUAAUAAUCACAUUAUGAUCGGUUUCUUCUAAACCGUCUUCUACAUCUAGACCUUCGUCACCGAUCGAACUGACUCCCCAUAAGUCCGUCACUAGACUUCUUAGACACAUAAUGACGACGUGUAUCAGGGUAUUCCCUUUAGGAACUUUUUCUCUUCUUCCUCUCUAGGAACCGUCUUCGUCUUUUGUUUGGUAACGGAGGGUUCAUAAGAUCGUCACUACAGGCAGGGGAUUUAUACUCACUAGAGUUUGUCCGUGUGCUCGUCCACACACGUUCAUAUAGUAGACUAAGCUGUUUAUACUUGCUCGAACAAGUCACCUUGCUCGAAAUACCACUUCCGCCUAGAUCUUUCUUCUGUGGAGAUUCGAUGAAGUACAUCGAAUAAACAUCGGACAUGUAUCUCGUCUUCGUAAUCUCACUUCGCUGACUCUUCUAUCUAUUACUUAUCGAGACAACCAAGAAGUAAAUAUCCGUUAAAAAAACUCAGUUAACAAAACAUUACGGUCAAGCCUCAAAGCAAUUAACUACAAGGUCGGUCACACUUGGGUAAAUCCAGAACAUAUGUCACGUACCACGAAUCUUCUCCACGAAUAUCAUUUUAUUUGACUCAAAAAGAGUUCGUGAUCACGAACAGAGACAUUUCCCACGGAUUAAUUCGUAGAUGAGAAAUGUUUAUUUGUGGAACAUAACAUGUUCCGGAAUUAGUUCUGUACCUAGGCCAUACAAGGAGUCACU